AGCGGAUGUCGAAGGGGACCUCGUCGACGCUGACGAUCGGCAGUUUCGCCGUGCCGAGCGACGUCGAUAUCAGCGGCGGCGUGU
This 84-nucleotide small RNA is filed under the name Sinorhizobium meliloti 2011. RNAcentral describes it as "putative ncRNA". Lineage: Bacteria; Pseudomonadati; Pseudomonadota; Alphaproteobacteria; Hyphomicrobiales; Rhizobiaceae. The record is from RNAcentral.